Molecule: non-coding RNA, 171 nt
Filed under: Albugo candida
Lineage: Eukaryota; Oomycota; Peronosporomycetes; Albuginales; Albuginaceae
Description: Eukaryotic large subunit ribosomal RNA
Rfam family: Eukaryotic large subunit ribosomal RNA
Source: Rfam by way of RNAcentral
CAAGUUUUGUGUGGCGAAUUGUAGUCUAUAGAAGCGAUGUCAGCAUAGCUGCUCCAGUUAAGUUCCUUGGAAAAGGACAGCAUGGAGGGUUACACUCCCGUCUUUGCUGGAGCAUGUUGUGUGUACGACACGUUUUCUUUGAGUCGCGUUGUUUGGGAAUGCAGCGCAAAG